RNAcentral lists this RNase P RNA (444 nucleotides) under Fibrella rubiginis. RNAcentral describes it as "Bacterial RNase P class A". It matches the Rfam family "Bacterial RNase P class A". From Rfam's summary of the family: Ribonuclease P (RNase P) is a ubiquitous endoribonuclease, found in archaea, bacteria and eukarya as well as chloroplasts and mitochondria. Its best characterised activity is the generation of mature 5'-ends of tRNAs by cleaving the 5'-leader elements of precursor-tRNAs. Lineage: Bacteria; Pseudomonadati; Bacteroidota; Cytophagia; Cytophagales; Spirosomataceae. The record is from Rfam by way of RNAcentral.
GGCCCGGAUCGUCUUAUCGCCUUGCUUUCGGGUGGGGAGGAAAGUCCGGACAGCAUAGGGCACCCUACUUCCUAACGGGAAGGCGGGCGGCGGGUAACCACCGUUCGACAGCCAGUGUCACAGAAAAUAUACCGCCGGGGUUAAUGAGUGACGGUCCGAUGCAUCGGACCGUCACUCAUUAACCCCGGUAAGGGUGAAAAGGGGGUGUAAGAGACCACCGCCCGGAUGGCGACAUGCGGGGCAGGAUAAACCUUAGGGGCUGAAAGACCAAACAGUGCCGGAUGUGGGGCGGCUCGUCUCCUCGUCGCCUUCGGGUGGCGACCGGUACGGGUAGGUCGAUAGAGGGGGUCGGUGACGGCCCUCCCAGAUAAAUGAUAAGACGGUCCGACGCGCCCACGGGUACGGUCGGGCCGACAGAAUCCGGCUUAUAGAUUCGGGCCUUUG